RNAcentral lists this RNase P RNA (201 nucleotides) under Methanobacteriota archaeon. Its description in RNAcentral is "Euryarchaeota archaeon partial RNase P RNA component". It matches the Rfam family "Archaeal RNase P", at positions 73 to 288 of the family's 288-position model. From Rfam's summary of the family: Ribonuclease P (RNase P) is a ubiquitous endoribonuclease, found in archaea, bacteria and eukarya as well as chloroplasts and mitochondria. Its best characterised activity is the generation of mature 5'-ends of tRNAs by cleaving the 5'-leader elements of precursor-tRNAs. Lineage: Archaea; Methanobacteriati; Methanobacteriota. The record is from RNAcentral.
AAGCGGGGGGCCCGAGAGGACCGGCAAGGGCGCAGAAACGACACAGCUCGCGCCGAGGAUGAUCCGCCCGGCGGUGACGUUGACGCGAGAUCUGGUGAGACGGCGACACCCCACCGGAGCAAGUCCAAGCAGGCGCAACGCGCCAGGUAGGACGCUCAGUCCAAUGCCGUCAGAACAGAAGGGGGCGUACGGCGGCCACCU